CACAUGUCAAGGAGAUCAUGCAGAGACUUUUUUGCUAGUAACCUCAGAGCUUUCGGGAUGCCGUUUGUGAGAUUGUUAUUGAGAUUCUCUAGGAUCCAUAUCUACGCAAUCAAUUGAGCUCAUUGUCAUAGCCAUCAUAGUAAGUCAAGUAGUAUUAAUAAUUUUUUUACUUAUUUUAAACUUUUAUAUUUAGAAGCUUCACAUAGUUAGGCUU
Molecule: long non-coding RNA, 214 nt
Filed under: Elaeis guineensis (African oil palm)
Lineage: Eukaryota; Viridiplantae; Streptophyta; Magnoliopsida; Arecales; Arecaceae
Description: long non-coding RNA (EGUI_LNC054643)
Source: RNAcentral